GCUGGGAGUGGUGGUGCACACCUGGAAUCCCAGAGGCUCGGGAGGCUGAGGCAGGGGGAUUGUGAGUUCAAAGCCAGCCUCAGCAACUUAGUGAAGCUCUAAGCAACUCAGUGAGACCCUGUCUCUA
RNAcentral lists this small RNA (127 nucleotides) under Marmota monax (woodchuck). Lineage: Eukaryota; Metazoa; Chordata; Mammalia; Rodentia; Sciuridae. The record is from RNAcentral.